Long non-coding RNA from Coregonus clupeaformis (lake whitefish), 1584 nucleotides. RefSeq lists it as uncharacterized. Lineage: Eukaryota; Metazoa; Chordata; Actinopteri; Salmoniformes; Salmonidae. The record is from RefSeq and is a predicted model, not a curated record. The transcript is spliced from 2 exons.
UUUUUUUGUAAUGGAGAAUGACAGUCAGAUUGUUGAUACCCCUCUCAACGUUAACACUCACCUAGCCAAAUACCUAACUGCACCUUUCGUAACUGAUACCAAGGUUUUGCGAGGGACAGAAAGUCCAUUCGGUUCUUGAGUAAUCAGUAGAGGGAGGACUAUCAACGUUUUAUCGAUGUUUCCUAGUCGGACAUAUUUUGAUGCCGCACUCGUCAGCACAGCGACGGUUUCUUUCCGCUAGUUACCACUAUUACACAAAUGUAAUAUCGUGGCUAUAUAUCGUAAAAAUUUAUGAAAAAUUAAUACCAAAAAGCAAAUUUUAGUUAAGGUUAAUGUUAGCAGUAUGGUUAAGGUUAGUUUUAAAAUCUAAUUUUAAGAAUAGAAAUUGGAGAAAUAUACCGGGUUUAUGACUUUGUAGCUGUGGUAACUAUUAACGACUCCAUAGCGAUGGCAGCAUGUGGAGCAGAGAGUGACGUUCUGGAUGAAAAAGAUGAUCCCGGUGCAGCAUUUUACGGAAAUGUUAUACAUUAUUACACAUUCAACCCACCAGAGAACCGUCUAAGCCUAAUUUCGACCACACUUAUUCAGGAUUUGGGGACCUGACAGUGGCAUUGUACAGACACCUCCAGCAGAGGGCCCAGUCUGAAGAGGUUACAGCAGCAUCCGGCACUGAUCUCCAGCUCUUGGGCUUUGACCUGGACGAAGCCAUUAUCCUCCGGGCUCAACAGACAAACCCUUUCCCUCAGAACAUCUCCUUCAUUCCCCUAGACAUCACCCAGGAGGACACUAGUGCCAGCCAGCUAAAGGACUACUAGAGACGACAUAGCUGCUCCCGUUUCCACCUCUCCCUGUGCCUGGCUGUCACCAUGUGGGUCCAUCUGAACCAUGGAGACUCCUCUCCCUGUGCCUGGCUGUCACCAUGUGGGUCCAUCUGAACCAUGGAGACUCCUCUCCCUGUGCCUGGCUGUCACCAUAUGGGUCCAUCUGAACCAUGGAGACUCCUCUCCCUGUGCCUGGCUGUCACCAUAUGGGUCCAUCUGAACCAUGGAGACUCCUCUCCCUCUGCCUAGCUGUCACCAUGUGGGUCCAUCUGAACCAUGGAGACUCCUCUCCCUGUGCCUGGCUGUCACCAUAUGGGUCCAUCUGAACCAUGGAGACUCCUCUCCCUGUGCCUGGCUGUCACCAUAUGGGUCCAUCUGAACCAUGGAGACUCCUCUCCCUGUGCCUGGCUGUCACCAUAUGGGUCCAUCUGAACCAUGGAGACUCCUCUCCCUGUGCCUGGCUGUCACCAUGUGGGUCCAGGGGCUUCAAGCACAGUUAAAUAAGGACCAGUAUGUUGAUUGAACACUAGGUGACAAUAAUACUGUGUUGUUACCAAUGGGUUGUUAUUGCUGUCUAAUGACACCUGCAUAGUGCAUAUUUUAGACAGCUAUACAUUUAGGUUGACCUAACUCGAUACUAUUCAUAGACGUUGUGUUUUGGGGCAAUUCCAUCGUAACGGAGUGUAUGCCAAACAAAAAACAUUGAUUUCAAAGAUUAACAAACCAUAGAACUCUAUGCACAGUGACUACUUUGAACAAUUUA